RNAcentral lists this long non-coding RNA (585 nucleotides) under Vombatus ursinus (common wombat). RNAcentral's name for it is "lncRNA (ENSVURG00010024553.1)". Lineage: Eukaryota; Metazoa; Chordata; Mammalia; Diprotodontia; Vombatidae. The record is from RNAcentral.
CAGAAGCAGCCAUGAGGAUCCGUGGACCCUGGUUAAGAACCCUGAUACUGAUUCAUGAUCUCUGACAGCUUCUGCACGAAGGUCCCUUCCAAUUCUGACAGUCUGUGUUUGAAGGUCUAAGGACCCUUCAUAGCUCUGACCUUGCCUAAUGCAGGGGGCAAGAGCCGGUAUCAGCCGUGUCUGUGUUAAGGGAGCAGAGGUGAGAAGUGACCGUCGGCCUGGAGCUGUCGGGGAUCCAAGGACGUCACGGAGGAGGCUGUUAGGAUAUCCCUUCCUCGUUUCUGGUCGAUGUUGAGAGCAAUAUCUGAAGGCUCUCGCACUGAAGAUACUAAAGAAUCUCAGCCUUGGGAAAAACCCCAAAGGCCAUCUAGUGACUACCCACUGCCUGGCCAUCUUCACAGCCUCUGGAACAGCCUUUCUACCUCCUUGACAGUGACCCUGGAAGUCUGAACUCUUUCAUGUCCAGAGCUGCGCCCUGGAGCCCUAUUGUCCUGAUAGGUGACUGUCUCUCCUGGACCAUUAUUUCAGGAAUAACUCAACAACUUCACUUCAUUCCCUCCUCCCUGGCCAUCUUCACGGCCUGAC